This 469-nucleotide ribosomal RNA is filed under the name uncultured bacterium. RNAcentral describes it as "bacterial SSU rRNA". It matches the Rfam family "Bacterial small subunit ribosomal RNA", at positions 9 to 524 of the family's 1533-position model. The record is from RNAcentral.
GAGUUUGAUCGUGGCUCAGAACGAACGCUGGCGGCAUGCCUAACACAUGCAAGUCGAACGAGACCUUCGGGUCUAGUGGCGCACGGGUGCGUAACGCGUGGGAAUCUGCCCUUGGGUCCGGAAUAACAGUGAGAAAUUACUGCUAAUACCGGAUGAUGUCUUCGGACCAAAGAUUUAUCGCCCAGGGAUGAGCCCGCGUAAGAUUAGCUAGUUGGUGGGGUAAAGGCCUACCAAGGCGACGAUCUUUAGCUGGUCUGAGAGGAUGAUCAGCCACACUGGGACUGAGACACGGCCCAGACUCCUACGGGAGGCAGCAGUGGGGAAUAUUGGACAAUGGGCGAAAGCCUGAUCCAGCAAUGCCGCGUGAGUGAUGAAGGCCUUAGGGUUGUAAAGCUCUUUUACCCGGGAUGAUAAUGACAGUACCGGGAGAAUAAGCCCCGGCUAACUCCGUGCCAGCCGCCGCCGUAAC